UCUUACCGUUAGUAAGCAGUCUCUUUAAAUACACAACAUUAAGCUAUGCAUAAUUAAAGAUAGGAGUUUCGUCCGUUUAAGGAAUUAACCUAACAUUUCACAACACGAACUGACGACAGCCCAUGCAGCACCUGUUCGAAGGCCCUCCAAUAAAAUAGCUUUAUUGAAUUACAAUUAAAAUAACUAACAGUAUUUUAAUCACCUUCGCUGUCAAGAACUGGUAAGAUUUCCCCGCGGUAUAUCAGAUUAAACCACAUGUUCCACCACUUGUGCGAGUCUCAGUCAAUUUCUUUGAAUUUUAAUCUUGCGAUCGUACUACUCAGGCGGAGUGUUUACGCGUUAACUUAAACAUCAGGUUCUAAGCCUAUAAAAGUUCCCUUUUUAAGACCCCAACAUUCAA
Molecule: unclassified non-coding RNA, 400 nt
Filed under: uncultured bacterium
Lineage: Bacteria
Description: contains 16S-23S intergenic spacer region
Source: RNAcentral